Molecule: ribosomal RNA, 456 nt
Filed under: uncultured bacterium
Lineage: Bacteria
Description: bacterial SSU rRNA
Rfam family: Bacterial small subunit ribosomal RNA
Source: RNAcentral
GACGAACGCUGGCGGCGUGCUUAACACAUGCAAGUCGAACGGUGACCCAGGGCUUGCCCUGGUGAUCAGUGGCGAACGGGUGAGUAACACGUGGGCAACCUGCCCCUGACUUCGGGAUAACUCCUCGAAAGAGGAGCUAAUACCGGAUACGACCACUUCGGACAUCCGAUGGUGGUGGAAAGUUUUUCGGUCAGGGAUGGGCCCGCGGCCUAUCAGCUAGUUGGUGGGGUAAUGGCCUACCAAGGCGACGACGGGUAGCCGGCCUGAGAGGGCGACCGGCCACACUGGGACUGAGACACGGCCCAGACUCCUACGGGAGGCAGCAGUGGGGAAUAUUGCGCAAUGGGCGAAAGCCUGACGCAGCGACGCCGCGUGAGGGAUGAAGGCCUUCGGGUUGUAAACCGUACUUUCAGCAGGGACGAAGACGAAAGUAGACGGUACCGUGCAGAAGAAGAC